AGUCUUAUGUAUCUAUAUAAGAUAAUUUCUGCCCAGUGGUAGGUGACUUAACGGCCGCAGUACCUUGACUGUGCUAAGGUAGCAUAAUAAAUUGGCUUUUAAUUGAAGUCUAGUAUGAAAGGAAAUACGGUGGGUGAGGCUGUCUCUUUAAGGUUAACCUGAACUUGCUAACUAGGUGAAAAUACCUAGUCUGUAGAAAAAAGACGAGAAGACCCUAAGAAUUUUUAUUAUAAAGUUGUAAUAUUCACUUAAUAUUUUUGUUGGGGUGACAUAGUAACAAAUUUUAACUUAUUUUGAUGAUACAAACCGAUGGUUAUAUAUUAGAAAAAAUUACCUUAGGGAUAACAGCAUAAUUUAUUAUUAAGAUUGUGACCUCGAUGUUGGACUAGGAACUAUAUAAUUAGUAAUUAAAAUAGCAAGUUCUGUUCGAACUUUUAACUCCU
Molecule: ribosomal RNA, 443 nt
Filed under: Gonaxis cf. gibbonsi 'Dar es Salaam'
Lineage: Eukaryota; Metazoa; Mollusca; Gastropoda; Stylommatophora; Streptaxidae
Description: partial 16S ribosomal RNA
Rfam family: Bacterial large subunit ribosomal RNA
Source: RNAcentral